RNAcentral lists this small RNA (121 nucleotides) under Klebsiella pneumoniae. RNAcentral describes it as "RtT sRNA". It matches the Rfam family "RtT RNA". From Rfam's summary of the family: This family represents a bacterial cis-regulatory element known as RtT RNA. The exact function of RtT is unknown although it is thought that it may be involved in changing the cellular response in relation to amino acid starvation. Lineage: Bacteria; Pseudomonadati; Pseudomonadota; Gammaproteobacteria; Enterobacterales; Enterobacteriaceae. The record is from RNAcentral. RNAcentral also lists the same sequence under 1 other name.
ACGGGGAAGGAUGAGAAGCUUCGACUAAGGUUCGACUCGAGCGAAGCGAGAGAACGUUGCCGCAGGCAACGGCCCGAAGGGCGAAGCGCUUUAGCGCCGAGUAAUCCUUCCCCCACCACUG